GAUCUUGGCUCACGUCGGCGGUCCCUCGCAGCUUCUUCAGCACUGGUGGGACCGGAGGAAAGGGACUAUACAUGUACAGCAUAAAGGAAGAACACAAAGGACUAGGGGCUUGCUUGCCUCUGGAACCCCGGCGGGCACAGGGCCCAGCUUUCCAGGCCUCUAAGGAUGAGACUGCCCACCCUGUAAAUGGAGGAAGCCCUUUUGGGUCUGUUUUAUGGCAGGAACAAGCUUCAGGUAAUGAACGGCAGGACUGGCCUCCUCACCAUUAGUGGGCAAAGUGUCUUCAUGGGAGCAAGGCCAAGACACCACUGCUUCCUCAGAAGUCCUCGGGAGCAGACAAGGGAAGCUGGUGCGGGCAGCGCAGGCAGUCAGCAAUGCCACACCGGGGAGCACUUCAUGCCACUGCGUCUUUGCACGCGCUGUUCCCUCUGCUUGGAUACCUAGCCCUCCUUCCCCGUGAGGCCAACUGACCAUGCGAGGUCCAAGUCGGCUGCCAAACUCUUCACAAAGCCUUUCCUGUCUUUCCCAUCACCCACCCCAGGGCCGGUCACUCCCUCCUAUUGCUUUCCCAGCAUCUGGAAGGCCUCCCUGUCUGUGGGUUCAACCAACUGGGGAGCAUAAAUAUUUGAAAAAU
Long non-coding RNA from Fukomys damarensis (Damara mole-rat), 634 nucleotides. RefSeq lists it as uncharacterized. The transcript is spliced from 3 exons. NCBI's taxonomy places the organism in Eukaryota, Metazoa, Chordata, Mammalia, Rodentia, Bathyergidae. The record is from RefSeq and is a predicted model, not a curated record.